Molecule: ribosomal RNA, 1847 nt
Filed under: Escherichia coli
Lineage: Bacteria; Pseudomonadati; Pseudomonadota; Gammaproteobacteria; Enterobacterales; Enterobacteriaceae
Description: partial 23S ribosomal RNA
Rfam family: Bacterial large subunit ribosomal RNA
Source: RNAcentral
GGUUAAGCGACUAAGCGUACACGGUGGAUGCCCUGGCAGUCAGAGGCGAUGAAGGACGUGCUAAUCUGCGAUAAGCGUCGGUAAGGUGAUAUGAACCGUUAUAACCGGCGAUUUCCGAAUGGGGAAACCCAGUGUGUUUCGACACACUAUCAUUAACUGAAUCCAUAGGUUAAUGAGGCGAACCGGGGGAACUGAAACAUCUAAGUACCCCGAGGAAAAGAAAUCAACCGAGAUUCCCCCAGUAGCGGCGAGCGAACGGGGAGCAGCCCAGAGCCUGAAUCAGUGUGUGUGUUAGUGGAAGCGUCUGGAAAGGCGCGCGAUACAGGGUGACAGCCCCGUACACAAAAAUGCACAUGCUGUGAGCUCGAUGAGUAGGGCGGGACACGUGGUAUCCUGUCUGAAUAUGGGGGGACCAUCCUCCAAGGCUAAAUACUCCUGACUGACCGAUAGUGAACCAGUACCGUGAGGGAAAGGCGAAAAGAACCCCGGCGAGGGGAGUGAAAAAGAACCUGAAACCGUGUACGUACAAGCAGUGGGAGCACGCUUAGGCGUGUGACUGCGUACCUUUUGUAUAAUGGGUCAGCGACUUAUAUUCUGUAGCAAGGUUAACCGAAUAGGGGAGCCGAAGGGAAACCGAGUCUUAACUGGGCGUUAAGUUGCAGGGUAUAGACCCGAAACCCGGUGAUCUAGCCAUGGGCAGGUUGAAGGUUGGGUAACACUAACUGGAGGACCGAACCGACUAAUGUUGAAAAAUUAGCGGAUGACUUGUGGCUGGGGGUGAAAGGCCAAUCAAACCGGGAGAUAGCUGGUUCUCCCCGAAAGCUAUUUAGGUAGCGCCUCGUGAAUUCAUCUCCGGGGGUAGAGCACUGUUUCGGCAAGGGGGUCAUCCCGACUUACCAACCCGAUGCAAACUGCGAAUACCGGAGAAUGUUAUCACGGGAGACACACGGCGGGUGCUAACGUCCGUCGUGAAGAGGGAAACAACCCAGACCGCCAGCUAAGGUCCCAAAGUCAUGGUUAAGUGGGAAACGAUGUGGGAAGGCCCAGACAGCCAGGAUGUUGGCUUAGAAGCAGCCAUCAUUUAAAGAAAGCGUAAUAGCUCACUGGUCGAGUCGGCCUGCGCGGAAGAUGUAACGGGGCUAAACCAUGCACCGAAGCUGCGGCAGCGACACUAUGUGUUGUUGGGUAGGGGAGCGUUCUGUAAGCCUGUGAAGGUGUGCUGUGAGGCAUGCUGGAGGUAUCAGAAGUGCGAAUGCUGACAUAAGUAACGAUAAAGCGGGUGAAAAGCCCGCUCGCCGGAAGACCAAGGGUUCCUGUCCAACGUUAAUCGGGGCAGGGUGAGUCGACCCCUAAGGCGAGGCCGAAAGGCGUAGUCGAUGGGAAACAGGUUAAUAUUCCUGUACUUGGUGUUACUGCGAAGGGGGGACGGAGAAGGCUAUGUUGGCCGGGCGACGGUUGUCCCGGUUUAAGCGUGUAGGCUGGUUUUCCAGGCAAAUCCGGAAAAUCAAGGCUGAGGCGUGAUGACGAGGCACUACGGUGCUGAAGCAACAAAUGCCCUGCUUCCAGGAAAAGCCUCUAAGCAUCAGGUAACAUCAAAUCGUACCCCAAACCGACACAGGUGGUCAGGUAGAGAAUACCAAGGCGCUUGAGAGAACUCGGGUGAAGGAACUAGGCAAAAUGGUGCCGUAACUUCGGGAGAAGGCACGCUGAUAUGUAGGUGAAGUCCCUCGCGGAUGGAGCUGAAAUCAGUCGAAGAUACCAGCUGGCUGCAACUGUUUAUUAAAAACACAGCACUGUGCAAACACGAAAGUGGACGUAUACGGUGUGACGCCUGCCCGGUGCCGGAA